AAGUUAGCGGCGGACGGGUGAGUAACACGUGGGUAACCUGCCCAUAAGACUGGGAUAACUCCGGGAAACCGGGGCUAAUACCGGAUAACAUUUUGAACCGCAUGGUUCGAAAUUGAAAGGCGGCUUCGGCUGUCACUUAUGGAUGGACCCGCGUCGCAUUAGCUAGUUGGUGAGGUAACGGCUCACCAAGGCAACGAUGCGUAGCCGACCUGAGAGGGUGAUCGGCCACACUGGGACUGAGACACGGCCCAGACUCCUACGGGAGGCAGCAGUAGGGAAUCUUCCGCAAUGGACGAAAGUCUGACGGAGCAACGCCGCGUGAGUGAUGAAGGCUUUCGGGUCGUAAAACUCUGUUGUUAGGGAAGAACAAGUGCUAGUUGAAUAAGCUGGCACCUUGACGGUACCUAACCAGAAAGCCACGGCUAACUACGUGCCAGCAGCCGCGGUAAUACGUAGGUGGCAAGCGUUAUCCGGAAUUAUUGGGCGUAAAGCGCGCGCAGGUGGUUUCUUAAGUCUGAUGUGAAAGCCCACGGCUCAACCGUGGAGGGUCAUUGGAAACUGGGAGACUUGAGUGCAGAAGAGGAAAGUGGAAUUCCAUGUGUAGCGGUGAAAUGCGUAGAGAUAUGGAGGAACACCAGUGGCGAAGGCGACUUUCUGGUCUGUAACUGACACUGAGGCGCG
RNAcentral lists this ribosomal RNA (681 nucleotides) under Bacillus sp. (in: firmicutes). Its description in RNAcentral is "bacterial SSU rRNA". It matches the Rfam family "Bacterial small subunit ribosomal RNA", at positions 89 to 755 of the family's 1533-position model. The record is from RNAcentral. Lineage: Bacteria; Bacillati; Bacillota; Bacilli; Caryophanales; Bacillaceae.